CCUACGGGAGGCAGCAGUGGGGAAUAUUGCACAAUGGGCGAAAGCCUGAUGCAGCAACGCCGCGUGAGCGAUGAAGGCCUUCGGGUCGUAAAGCUCUGUCCUCAAGGAAGAUAAUGACGGUACUUGAGGAGGAAGCCCCGGCUAACUACGUGCCAGCAGCCGCGGUAAUACGUAGGGGGCUAGCGUUAUCCGGAAUUACUGGGUGUAAAGGGAGCGUAGACGGCAGUGCAAGUCUGGAGUGAAAUCCCCGCGCUCAACGUGGGAACUGCCUUUGAAACUGGCAAACUGGAGUGUGUGAGAGGAUAGUGGAAUUCCAGGUGUAGGAGUGAAAUCCGUAGAUAUCUGGAGGAACAUCAGUGGCGAAGGCGACUAUCUGGCACAUAACUGACGCUGAGGAGCGAAAGCGUGGGUAGCAAACAGGAUUAGAUACCCUGGUAGUC
RNAcentral lists this ribosomal RNA (440 nucleotides) under uncultured bacterium. RNAcentral's name for it is "partial 16S ribosomal RNA". It matches the Rfam family "Bacterial small subunit ribosomal RNA", at positions 338 to 795 of the family's 1533-position model. The record is from RNAcentral.